GUCUUUUUGAUUAUAAUUUAAGGUUUAAUCUGCUCAAUGAAAAUUUAAAUAGCCGCAGUAUUCUGACUGUGCAAAGGUAGCAUAAUAAUUAGUCUCUUAAUUAGAGACUUGUAUGAAUGAUUGGACAAGAAAAUUUCUGUCUCUUAUUAAUUUUUUUUUGAAUUUAAUUUUUAAGUUAAAAUGCUUAAAUUUUUAUAAAAGACGAGAAGACCCCAUAGAGUUUUAUUUUCAUUGAUUUUUAGUAUAAUUUAUUAAAUUGAUAAAUUGGUUGGGGUGACUUAAAGAUUGAAUAAACUCUUUAAAUUUAAAUCAUUGAUUUAUGAAUUAUUAGUCUAAUUUUUUAAGUUUAAAUUAAAUUACCUUGGGGAUAACAGCGUAAUUUCUUUUAAGAGUUCUUAUCAAAUAAGAAGAUUGCGACCUCGAUGUUGGAUUAAAAUUUAUUUUAGGUGUAGAAGCUUGAAAAUUAAGUCUGUUCGACUUUUAAAA
RNAcentral lists this ribosomal RNA (486 nucleotides) under Pyrocoelia praetexta. RNAcentral describes it as "partial 16S ribosomal RNA". It matches the Rfam family "Bacterial large subunit ribosomal RNA", at positions 1830 to 2593 of the family's 2925-position model. The record is from RNAcentral. Lineage: Eukaryota; Metazoa; Arthropoda; Insecta; Coleoptera; Lampyridae.